This 331-nucleotide ribosomal RNA is filed under the name uncultured bacterium. RNAcentral describes it as "partial 16S ribosomal RNA". It matches the Rfam family "Bacterial small subunit ribosomal RNA", at positions 373 to 710 of the family's 1533-position model. The record is from RNAcentral.
GGGCGCAAKYYUGAUGCAGCGACGCCGCGUGAGGGAUGGAGGCCUUCGGGUUGUAAACCUCUUUUGUUAGGGAGCAAGGCACUUUGUGUUGAGUGUACCUUUCGAAUAAGCACCGGCUAACUACGUGCCAGCAGCCGCGGUAAUACGUAGGGUGCAARMRWNUANCCGGAAUUAUUGGGCGUAAAGGGCUCGUAGGCGGUUCGUCGCGUCCGGUGUGANANUNCAUCGCUUAACGGUGGAUCCGCGCCGGGUACGGGCGGGCUUGAGUGCGGUAGGGGAGACUGGAAUUCCCGGUGUAACGGUGGAAUGUGUAGACAUCGGGAAGAACACC